UUUAUUUAGUUUCUAAAAUCCAAUUAGCUAGAUAUUUUAUUUGAUUUUGUUUUUAUAUUUAAGUAGUUGAGUUUUGGAAAGUUUUUAUAUUUUGUUAAUAGAAAUAGAUAUGAGGACUUAAAGGGUUUAUAUUUAGGUAGUGCUUGAGCCAAGGAAAAUGAUAGUCCACUAUCUUGACCCUAUGCAUCACAAACCAUGUGAGGACUUAAAGGAUAUCGUAAACAUGGCUCUUCGAAUAUCUGCAAAGAAAACAUCUAAGAGGGAGCCAUCUUAGCAACUAGUGCAGGUGACAUCCAAAAAUUUUUCUUUACACAUUAGCUUAUGCAUUUGCACCAUUUAUAUAUGUGAGUACUAAUGUUAUUUUAUAAUUGAUCGAUUACUGUCCAAGACAAGAAGGAGGGUUCGAAUGUGGCUACUUUGUUAUGAGAUUCAUUAAAGAGAUAAUUUUUGAUCCUACAAUUAUUGCUUCAAAGGUAUUACUUAUUUAAUGAAUUGUACAUAGUUUUAGGCUUCCAAAUGUUAUGCAUUUUAAUGUUAUUUUCUUAUUUGAUUUCAGUUUGGUAAUAAAAAAAACAUAUUCUCAAGUAGAAUUCGAUGAAAUUAGAGGAGAAUGGGCUACUUUUGUGCUACAACUAAUCAUGAAUCAUGUUGAUGCAUCAUGAUCACCAUGCAUGGUAUACACUCUUGGGAGGGUGAAAUGGAGAAUAAAAAGAAAGAAGAAGGCAACAAGAUUUUGGGUUUUUAAAUGCAACUCUUAUGUCAUACGUUGUAGGACAUAAACGUUACUUUAAUUGCAACUGAGAAAUUUAGAUUUUUAGAUGGGACUUCUAUGUCAUUUUAUGGUUAGCUGGUUUUAUGCUUAUGAAAUGGAGGUAUACAUGAAUCUUGGGAUCUUUAACAUUUCUAAAUCAUGUUUUGGUA
Molecule: long non-coding RNA, 921 nt
Organism: Vitis vinifera (wine grape)
Lineage: Eukaryota; Viridiplantae; Streptophyta; Magnoliopsida; Vitales; Vitaceae
Exons: 3
Source: RefSeq, a predicted model, not a curated record